AGACCCCGUCGGGCAUGCGCGGCAGAGGAGGGGGCUGACUUGAGCAGAAAGCGCGGAGAGACAAGUCGGAAGGAAAAGACAGACGAUCUCUGAUAAAGCAAAGCAGACAGAAAGAAUUUACCUGAGCUCUCUGCUGGACAGCAGCGUGUCACUGUAGGAGCUGCUCAGUGCUGCUAGGAUGACCUGCAUGUGGUGGGAGUUAUUACACUGGUAUAGUAUGACUAUGUCACCUGCAGCCUCCAGCAGUACCAGUUACCUGAGACCACACAUCUCAGCGACGUGUGCGUGCCCAUCCCAGCAGGGGAAAGAGGGAAGCCCCAGCUGUCCCAGCAGAACACACCAUAAAAGAUGAUUGAUGUCACCCCAGAGUCAUAGACGGUCUUCAGAAACUCCAAAACAAUUGAAUCUAGGCUUCUAGGUGUCCAUCAGGUGUGAUGUCAGAGCCACCAGCCUGCAGCUGUUGUUCAUUUACAUCUGCCUAAUUGAUCAUUUAUCCUCAGCACACUUUUCAGUUCCCUUGCCUGAAACUGGACAACAUGUAAAGUCUAAAUUCAAACAAAGGUUGGGGAAACCUGCACUGAGCUGAGACAGAAGAAGUCUGAAGUCGAACUCGGAUGAGUGACAGAGCGUUCCUGCUACUGAAAACUCUACGUCCAGAUGAACAAAAUGAACUUUUCGGGACAGGUCCCCAGAUGUUUUCUCUUCUCAGAAUCCUCUUCACAGAUCAUAUCUCUUUUAUCUGACAUACAGUCAUGUGGAAAAGAGUGUUUUCAUAGGAAUCUAUAGAGUACUCUGAAAAACUAAGCACUGUACAUGAGUGAGUAGCUUGCAGAGCCACCUUUUAGCAGCAGUAGUGUCACCAAAUUGUUUCUGUAUGACUCUUAGUCUGUCACACGGUUGUUUUGGCUGACGUUUCUUUACAUCGUUUCGUCAGUUCAUUGAGGUUUGUGGUAUUUGUUUAUGUAAAGCCCUCUUAAGUUCCCAGCACUGUUUUUCAGGUUGAGUUGUGGACUGUGACCUGGUCAUUGCAACACCUUGAUUCUGUUGUAGCUCUGCUAAUUUGCUUGGGAUCUUUGUCCUGCUGCAUUACCAAAACUCAGUUUUGACUGUAGACUACUUGGUAUACAAGGGACUUCAUGGAAAACUCAAUGACUGCAAGGGCCCAGGUUCUGUAGCUGCAAGACAAGCUCAAAUCAUCACCCCUUCACCGCUAA
Maylandia zebra (zebra mbuna) is the source of this 1214-nucleotide long non-coding RNA. RefSeq lists it as uncharacterized. The record is from RefSeq and is a predicted model, not a curated record. Lineage: Eukaryota; Metazoa; Chordata; Actinopteri; Cichliformes; Cichlidae.